Molecule: transfer RNA, 80 nt
Filed under: Nocardia otitidiscaviarum
Lineage: Bacteria; Bacillati; Actinomycetota; Actinomycetes; Mycobacteriales; Nocardiaceae
Description: tRNA-Ser(cag)
Rfam family: tRNA
About the family: Transfer RNA (tRNA) molecules are approximately 80 nucleotides in length. Their secondary structure includes four short double-helical elements and three loops (D, anti-codon, and T loops).
Source: RNAcentral
UUCCCUCGUAGCCCAAUUGGCAGGAGGCACCGGAUUCAGGAUCCGGACAGUGUGAGUUCGAAUCUCACCGAGGGAACCCA